RNAcentral lists this long non-coding RNA (551 nucleotides) under Homo sapiens (human). Its description in RNAcentral is "HSALNT0248893". Lineage: Eukaryota; Metazoa; Chordata; Mammalia; Primates; Hominidae. The record is from RNAcentral.
AUUUAUUGUUGCUCACUUUUGUAUUUACUUCAGAUAGUAGACCUUGCCUUUUUCUUGAAAUUGAGAUGAGCAGAGAAAGAAGACUUCAGUGGCGUUUCUCUAUUGAGGCAGGAUAUAUUUAUUAGGAAGUCACCUUAGGAAUUUGUGAAAUGUUUUCUGUUGGUAACUGAAAGUAAUAUGCAAGGACCCAGAGGCAUGAAGCCCUUACUGCUGUCCUGGGGGCUGAGGAAGGAGCUGCCAGAUUACCAUCCCUGAUCCAACCUGUAGGAAUGAACUUAUCACUCACUGCCUGAACAUGGGCACCCAGCCUGUUUUUGGUGAGAGGCGCAUUUGGGGCAAGAUCCAUCCCAUUGCUCCUAGAAAGGCAUGUAAACCUUCCCAUUGUCCCUGUCACACUUGCCUUGGAGAACUGUACCUGUGCAUAAACUGUACCGGCUUCUUUUUUAAUGAAUGUAUAAUCACAUGGUUUUUCCUUUAAACAUUGCUCAUGUCUACAAGAAAGUCUGCAAUCUUGAAAAGCAUUAAAAUGGUCCCAAGACUUGAAUCUUUUC